AAUAGCUUAAUUAAUUGGGUCACUCUCACUAUCACCACUUUGGUUUGUCUGGGAUGCAUUUGUUCUAUCUAUUUGUCUCUUCUGAAUUCAUUCAGCAUAUUCGGUUGUAAUCAGAUAACAAAACCAUUUUUGUCUUGCCUUAAGAACCAGCAUUGCUUGUCACUCAUGUAAUAAUGUUCACUUAACAAAUAAUUUACUGCAAUCCAAACUUGUUUCCGAUCGAACCCAACAACAAAGCCUUCCCACAGAAAUAAAACAAAAACAAAAAACACAACAACAACAAGGCCUCCCAAGUCUAAAGUUCUUACUUAUAUAAAUGGAAACUAAAGCCCAUCAGAAGCUUCACAUUUUCUUCUUUCCAGAUAUGGCUCAAGGCCAUAUCAUUCCCCUCAUAGACAUUGCCAAACUAUUUGCUUCUCGUGGUGUAAAAUCCACCUUAAUAACCACUGCUCUCAAUGCACCACUCUUCUCCAAAGCAAUCCAAAGCAGCAAAAAUUUGGGGUUUGAGAUUGAAAUUCUUGUCAUCCAAUUUCCAGCUAUUGAAGUUGGGUUGCCUCAAGGAUUUGAGAUUACUAGCAUGGCUACGACCCAUGAGAUGAGAGAAAAGUUCUUCAAAGCUACCUUCCUGCUUGAGCCACAGAUUGAGCAGAUUUUAGACCAACACCGCCCUCACUGCCUCGUUGCCGAUUCAUUGUUUCCUUGGGCUACAGACGUUGCUGCCAAGUUUGGAAUUCCAAGGCUCAUAUGUCAUGGACCUGGUUUUUUCCCUUUGUGUGCUGCAACCAUUGUCAUAUUGCAGGAGCCUCAAAAGAAGGUAUCAUCUGAUUCAGACGUUUUUACUAUUCCUAAUCUCCCGGUUGAGAUCAAGAUGACACGAAACCAAGUACCAACUAUGUUGGAGAAAAAUGCUGAUACAAUUUUGUCCAAGUUGUUCAAAGAAUCCAGAGAGUGUGAGGAAAGGAGCUAUGGUAUUAUUGUUAAUACUUUCUAUGAACUUGAGCCAGCUUUUGCAGAUCAUUACAGGAAGGUGUUUGGGAGGAAGGCAUGGCAUAUAGGCCCGGUUUCCUUAUGCAACAAUGCAGUAGGGAAUAAAACAGAGAUAAGGGGAAUGGAAGCCUCCUUUGAUGAACAUGAGUGCUUGAAUUGGCUCAAUACUAAGAAAAUCAUUCAGUUGUUUACAUAUGUUUUGGAAGCCUGACCAAUUUCAGUGAUCCUCAGCUCCUUGAAAUUGCUUUGGGGCUUGAGGCUUAUGGGCAGGAAUUCAUUUGGGUUGUGAAGGAAGAAAAGAAAGAAAAGGAAGAGUGGUUGCCUGAAGGGUUUGAACAGAGAAUGGAAGGCAAGGGACUAAUUAUAAGAGGUUGGGCUCCACAGGUGAUGAUUCUGGAGCAUCAAGCAAUUGGAGGCUUUGUAACUCACUGUGGGUGGAACUCUAUCCUUGAAGGAGUGUCUUCUGGGGUGCCAAUGAUAACAUGGCCCGUGUCUGCUGAGCAGUUUUACAAUGAGAAGUUGGUGACUGAGAUACUGAGAAUUGGGGUUGCUGUUGGUUCUGAAAAAUGGGCUUCAUUAGUAGAUGUGAAGAAGGAAGCCAGUGUGGAGAGGGACGCCAUAGAGAAGGCUGUGGCUCAAGUCAUGGUGGGUGAUGAAGCAGAGGAAAUGAGAAGCAGAGCCAGGGGACUAAGAGAGGUGGCAAGUAGGGCUAUUGAAAAAGGAGGAUCAUCAUACUCUGAUUUGAAUGCCCUAAUUGAAGAACUGAGGUCCCAUAGUUAG
RNA transcript from Prunus persica (peach), 1767 nucleotides. It is a transcript of the gene named UDP-glucose flavonoid 3-O-glucosyltransferase 7-like, with no coding region annotated. The transcript has a single exon. Lineage: Eukaryota; Viridiplantae; Streptophyta; Magnoliopsida; Rosales; Rosaceae. The record is from RefSeq and is a predicted model, not a curated record.